CAAAGGCUUGGUCCUGACUUUACUAUCAGCUCUAACUAAACUUACACAUGCAAGUAUCCGCACCCCCGUGAGAAUGCCCUAACAGUUUCCUGCCAGGAAACAAGGAGCCGGUAUCAGGCACAUCUUAUUAAGCCCAUGACGCCUUGCUAAGCCACGCCCUCAAGGGUAUUCAGCAGUGAUAAACAUUAAGCUAUGAGUGAAAACUUGACUUAGCCAAGGUUAAGAGGGUCGGUAAAACUCGUGCCAGCCACCGCGGUUAUACGAGAGACCCAAGUUGAUAGACUGCGGCGUAAAGAGUGGUUAAGCCAAUAAUUUAAACUAAAGCCGAAGGCCCUCAGAGCUGUUAUACGCUUCCGAAGGUAUGAAGUUCAAUCACGAAAGUGGCUUUAUCAUAGCUGAACCCACGUAAGCUAUGACACAAACUGGGAUUAGAUACCCCCCUAUGCAUAGCCCUAAACAUUGAUAGCACAGCACAUUUGCUUUCCGCCCGGGAACUACGAGCAUUAGCUUGAAACCCAAAGGACUUGGCGGUGCCUUAGACCCCCCUAGAGGAGCCUGUUCUAUAACCGAUCCCCCCCGUUAAACCUCACCCUUCCUGGUUUAUUCCGCCUAUAUACCGCCGUCGCCAGCUUACCCUGUGAAGGACUCAUAGUAAGCAUAAUUGGCCUAGCCCAAAACGUCAGGUCGAGGUGUAGUGUAUGGAAGGGGAAGAAAUGGGCUACAUUCAUUGAAACAGUGAACACGAAUGCUGUACUGCAACGUACUUUUGAAGGAGGAUUUAGCAGUAAGCAGGAAACAGAGCGUCCAGCUGAAGUCGGCUCUAAAGCGCGCACACACCG
This 839-nucleotide non-coding RNA is filed under the name Dichistius multifasciatus (banded galjoen). RNAcentral describes it as "partial small subunit ribosomal RNA". It matches the Rfam family "Bacterial small subunit ribosomal RNA". Lineage: Eukaryota; Metazoa; Chordata; Actinopteri; Centrarchiformes; Dichistiidae. The record is from RNAcentral.